RNAcentral lists this non-coding RNA (336 nucleotides) under Homo sapiens (human). The record is from RNAcentral. Lineage: Eukaryota; Metazoa; Chordata; Mammalia; Primates; Hominidae.
GCCUCUUCCACCCUACAGCUGGCCUCGGACCCCGCCCUGCGCAGCAAGCUGGUCCGCCUGUCCUCCGACUCUUUCGCCCGCCUGGUGGAGCUGUUCUGUAGCCGGGAUGACAGCUCUCGCCCAAGCCGAGCAUGCCCCGGGCCCCCGCCUCCUUCCCCGGAGCCCCUGGCCCGCCUGGCCCUAGCCAUGGAGCUGAGCCGGCGCGUGGCCGGGCUGGGGGGCACCCUGGCCGGACUCAGCGUGGAGCACGUGCACAGCUUCACGCCCUGGAUCCAGGCCCACGGGGGCUGGGUGAGCCGCUGAAGCCUCUCUCUCCGGGCCUCACUUUACCUAACU